GGAAGGAUCAUUAUCGAAUAAACUUGAGCAGGCUGUUGCUGGCCUCUUUGGGGGUAUUGUGCACGCUUGUCAUCUUUAUUUCCCCCCACUGUGCACAUAUUGUAGACCCUGGAGUUGUAAUUGUUCAUACCGAUUGAUUGAGGACUGCUGUAAAGCUUUGCCUUGCUUCUCCAGGUCUAUGUUAAUUUUUUUUCACAACCUCUGAAUGUGUUUAGAAUGUUGAAUUGGGUCUUUGUACCUAUAAAGUUUAAAUAUACAACUUUCAGCAACGGAUCUCUUGGCUCUCGCAUCGAUGAAGAACGCAGCGAAAUGCGAUAAGUAAUGUGAAUUGCAGAAUUCAGUGAAUCAUCGAAUCUUUGAACGCAUCUUGCGCUCCUUGGUAUUCCGAGGAGCAUGCCUGUUUGAGUGUCAUUAAGUUCUCAACUACACCAGUUUUAUAAUUGGUGUGGCUUGGAUAAUGGGGGUUGUAUUUGCAGGCCUCAGACAAUUAAAUGUCUGCUCCCCUGAAAUGUAUCAGUAGUAUCUGAGCAGAACUACCACAGGUGUGAUAAUUAUCUAUGCCUUGGUGAAUUUGCAUGAACAGAUUACACUGCUUCUAACAAGUGAAAACUCUUACGAGUUUCAUCUUUUGACAAAUUUGACCUCAAAUCAGGUAGGACUACCCGCUGAACUUAAGCAUAUCAAURAGCGGAGGAAAAGAAACUAACAAGGAUUCCCCUAGUAACUGCGAGUGAAGCGGGAAGAGCUCAAAUUUGAAAUCUGGCGG
RNAcentral lists this ribosomal RNA (766 nucleotides) under uncultured fungus. RNAcentral describes it as "eukaryotic LSU rRNA". The stretch from base 258 to 411 matches the Rfam family "5.8S ribosomal RNA". The record is from RNAcentral. Lineage: Eukaryota; Fungi.